UGCGUAGGCGGUUUAUUAAGUCAGUGGUGAAAGACGGUCGCUCAACGAUUGCAGUGCCAUUGAUACUGGUAGACUUGAGUGUGAUUGAGGUAGCUGGAAUGGAUAGUGUAGCGGUGAAAUGCAUAGAUAUUAUCCAGAACACCAAUUGCGAAGGCAGCUUACUAAACUGUCACUGACGCUGAUGCACGAAAGCGUGGGGAGCGAACAGGAUUAGAUACCCGAGUA
This 225-nucleotide ribosomal RNA is filed under the name uncultured Flectobacillus sp. Its description in RNAcentral is "partial 16S ribosomal RNA". It matches the Rfam family "Bacterial small subunit ribosomal RNA", at positions 568 to 792 of the family's 1533-position model. Lineage: Bacteria; Pseudomonadati; Bacteroidota; Cytophagia; Cytophagales; Flectobacillaceae. The record is from RNAcentral.